AACAUGGGACUCAUUUCGUAUAUAAGGAAAAACGCAGCAAAAUGUUAUACAUUUAAAAUCAAAAUGUUCAAUGAUGAUGGUAAAACUGAUAAUUGCUUUGCCUUUUAUGAUGCACAGUAUUUCGAUAGUUGACAGUAGAUAUUGUUCCUGGUCAAAACAAACAGCUGAUCGUGUUACAUCAUGUCCCAAAACAAUGGUGGAAAUGGCAGAAAGAGAGCAGCAUAAAAACUGUUCAUCGUUGGCAUUCAUUCAAAACUGUACAGACGCCAUCAAGUUCAAGUACCACUGUGUCAUAAAUGAGUUCGAGAACGCCUUAAUUGAAGUUUGUGCACCGGAAUAUUAUAUACACGGAUUUUGCACAGAGUAUAAUGUAUAUGGAGCUGUAAUUCAACCACAUUACCACUUGAAAUGCGACACAGUCGACCCACCUUGUUCUAACCGUUACAUGUCUACAGAUGCCUAUCUUUAUGAAGGCUGUUAUAAUGUUGUGAGAGAAAAAAAUUAUUGGAGAGAACCACACAUCAAGUCGAAUGCGUCUGUCAACAAACUCAGCAACAUAUCUUCAAUAGCAAAAGGAUUAAGAGAACGCAUUCAACCCGACGGAAAAGAUGCUAUGAUUGUUGUUUUUGGGAUGAGUUUGACUAUAACUGCAUUUAUUGGCGUUUUAAUAUUAAAAAUAUUUAAACAACAAAAUACGAUUGUAAAAAGGACUGAUCGCAGUGUUGAAGAGUGUUCGCUAUGAAUUUGAAGGAUGACCAAAGGCAAUAUCUCACUGAUCCCAAGAUACCAAGAAAAUCGAAGCAUUCUCUUUUUAGUAUACAUGUGUCAGCAACUUUAUACCCAAUUACAGUCAGCUUCCCAACACUGUCAGAACCAAGAUCCAAUAAUGAAGAAUUAUUGUACUGAAAGGAUUGGAUACUUUUCACUCUAACCAAUGGUGUCGCAACAACCGUCUUCUGUCUUCUAGCAGUUAUCCCACAUCAAGUCUCCUGCCUCUAAUGUGAAAUUAAAAGACACCGUCUUUAAUAUUUUUUUUCAGAUUCGUCAUGAAAAAAAACGUUGCAUAUUCUUUAAGCCUACUUCUGUAAUGAGUGAAAUUAUCUUCAAAUAAUUCCGACCUGAAUGUACGCAAUGAUAACGAGAUUCAAGCAUUUAGAGACGAACUGAUAUUGUCAAGAUAAAUGAAAUCAGCUAAUCCAAGGCGGAGGCUGUGGAAUAAAAGGUGUUCCGAAAUUUGACAGCAUCCCAAAUCUUUGCGAUGUGUUGACGAAUUUUACAGUGUAUCUACAUGUACACCUGUAGUGUAGAACAUUCUGCGACCAAUUUUCCUCAAUACGAACAAUACGGUUUUCCACCUAACUUUGCAGCAACUUUACAUGGCCAACCAAGUGAUUCUCUUGAUGACGCUAUACCUAACGGCGAUGAAAUGUUCGCAGCAAUCAAAGUCAUGAAGAUUUUGACUCUAGUGCUUACAAACAGUCUAGGAAACUACGAAUGGACUUAUUUGAAGCAAAUGGACGACGAGGGAAGGACAUUUGUGCAUAAGAAGGGCGUAUAAAAAUUGGUGGACAAUGGAUGUUUGAACUUAUCUUCACAGCUACAGUAUAUGUGCACAGGAAUGUUUAUUAACUGUCUUGAAACUAACAUCCUCUUGUUAUCGAAAAAAGCAAUGCCUGUCCAAAAAUUGAUAGAGCAAUAGUUUAAAGGGGCAUGGUCACGAUUUUGGUCAAAUCUUUGAGUUUUAAGCAAGAUAAAUGGCUCACAAUUCUUCGUCAUGUAAACAAGGCUCGUGCCAUGUUUUUGUUUACAUAGGUUCAAUAUACCAGUAAAAAAUCUUUUUCAAGCUGAUUUGUCUAUCUCCUUAUUCAUUUUAAGCAUAUUUAACAGUUCCUAACGAUUAACACAUUUAUUUGAGGUCUAAAACUGGAAUUUUUUCUUCAACAUUCAAAAUGAAAACAAACGCUUUGUUUACAUAGCGAAGAAUUGUAAGCUCUGUAACUCGCAUAUAACUCAACAAAUGACACUCAAAUUUUUUUUGCAUAUUAAAAAUGCCUUACUGAGGCAUUAUAAACAUUUUAAAAAAAAUUAAUAUUUUGACCAAAAUUGUGACCAUGCCCCUUUAAGACCUUAGAUUAAGUGUGUGAUGUAGGACUAACUGCAUUGGAUUUCCUCAUGUUAGUAUUAAGUUUUUAUUCAGCGAUUCUUGAGCAAGUGCAUGUAACGAAUUGAGCUUUCCCCUGAAUUUAGCAUAUAAAUUUUAAGAACCUUUACAUUACAAUUUAUAAUAUUAAUCAAAUACAAGAUACGUUCGAAAAUGUUGUAUAUUAUUUUUAGAAGAAAGCUGUGGUACACCCUACGGGUUAACAACAAAUUCACGAUUAAUACUUAAAUUCAAGCUUAAACUUUAAUGAUAAAACUUGUAUUUGAACUCUAUAGUGCCCAAAAAAGGAAUAUCAAUAUUAAUGCGUGCAAUCCAAGCAACUUGAAAACAUAUUUUUUAACCACUUUCAGUACUUUGAUUUAUGUUUAUUAUGCUUAAGUAAGGCAUUUCUAUUAGUCAACUACAAUUUGAGUGUUAGUCGUCGAGUUAUAAGCUCUCACAAUUCUUCGUUAUGUAAACAAAGCCCGGGUUUUUCGUUUACAUUUUGAAUGUUGAAAAAAAUCCAGGUUGUGACCUUAAAUGAACAUGACAGUAUAGGAACGGUUUCAAAAUUAAGUUCUCAUUAGAAAUGAAUUACAUCAUUGUAAACAUUUUUAUAAAAAAUAAACUAAGACCAAAAUAGGGACCAUGCCAAUUUGCUAGAUUAUCCAAUUAUCUAAAAAAAAAAUUACAAUCGGUUAAUUAUUCGCUGUGUUAGAAUCAUUUUAAUAUUAUUCAAACUGAAUCAAGGCAUAUCUGCAUACUUCUCUAUUACGACUUCCUUCAAAAAGAAUAAAGAUUCUAUUUUACA
Molecule: RNA transcript, 2951 nt
Organism: Magallana angulata
Lineage: Eukaryota; Metazoa; Mollusca; Bivalvia; Ostreida; Ostreidae
Exons: 9
Source: RefSeq, a predicted model, not a curated record